This is a long non-coding RNA of Bos taurus (domestic cattle), 432 nucleotides long. NCBI's taxonomy places the organism in Eukaryota, Metazoa, Chordata, Mammalia, Artiodactyla, Bovidae. The record is from Ensembl.
ACCAAAUGGCCAGGUGCCCUGGGCUGGCACAGGGAGGCAGUGACCUUGGCUUUUGGCCUGCACAGUCAGCAGAGCCCGCCCACGUGCACUGGGUGCAGGGAGCAGAAAUCAGUGGCCAGACGGAAGCCUGGAAGGGAGGCGAGGCACACCCCCCACCCCUGCCUCCUGAGGGCCUGGGGCUGGCCCCACGCAGGGGUCCCUGUGCCCACUCUCCCCAAUGGCAAGGAGCUCCCUCCAAGGACUGCUCUCACCCAGAUCCCCGCCUCGGACUCUCUUCCCAGAAGCCCAGCCCAGGGCCCAGGUCUCCUCCUCACGUGGACACACAUGUGGACGCACAUGGCAGCCAGUGCGACACAGCCGUUCUCGAGGAAGAGCCUGUCGCUUUCUUUUUUUGUGUGUGUGUGUGUAAUAAAGCUUUAUUAAAGUAUAAAG